This 253-nucleotide ribosomal RNA is filed under the name uncultured bacterium. Its description in RNAcentral is "partial 16S ribosomal RNA". It matches the Rfam family "Bacterial small subunit ribosomal RNA", at positions 524 to 776 of the family's 1533-position model. The record is from RNAcentral.
UACAGAGAGUGCAAACGUUGUUCGGAAUUACUGGGCUUAAAGCGCACGUAGGCUGUGUCGUAAGUGUCAAGUGAAAUCCCACGGCUCACCCGUGGAACUGCCUGGCAGACUGCGAUGCUCGAGUGUGGUAGGGGAGAGCGGAACUCCUGGUGGAGCGGUGAAAUGCGUAGAUAUCAGGAGGAACACCGGUGGCGAAGGCGGCUCUCUGGUCCACAACUGACGCUGAGGUGCGAAAGCUAGGGGAGCAAACGGG